Molecule: ribosomal RNA, 497 nt
Filed under: uncultured bacterium
Lineage: Bacteria
Description: partial 16S ribosomal RNA
Rfam family: Bacterial small subunit ribosomal RNA
Source: RNAcentral
GAUGAACGCUGGCGGCGUGCCUAAUACAUGCAAGUCGAGCGAACGGACGAGAAGCUUGCUCCUCUGACGUUAGCGGCGGACGGGUGAGUAACACGUGGAUAACCUACCUAUAAGACUGGGAUAACUUCGGGAAACCGGAGCUAAUACCGGAUAAUAUAUUGAACCGCAUGGUUCAAAAGUGAAAGACGGUCUUGCUGUCACUUAUAGAUGGAUCCGCGCUGCAUUAGCUAGUUGGUAAGGUAACGGCUUACCAAGGCAACGAUGCGUAGCCGACCUGAGAGGGUGAUCGGCCACACUGGAACUGAGACACGGUCCAGACUCCUACGGGAGGCAGCAGUAGGGAAUCUUCCGCAAUGGGCGAAAGCCUGACGGAGCAACGCCGCGUGAGUGAUGAAGGUCUUCGGAUCGUAAAACUCUGUUAUUAGGGAAGAACAUAUGUGUAAGUAACUGUGCACAUCUUGACGGUACCUAAUCAGAAAGCCACGGCUAACUACGUG